RNAcentral lists this unclassified non-coding RNA (1035 nucleotides) under Hevea brasiliensis (rubber tree). The record is from RNAcentral. Lineage: Eukaryota; Viridiplantae; Streptophyta; Magnoliopsida; Malpighiales; Euphorbiaceae.
UCUCUCCCAAAUUUCUCUCAAAUUUAGGGUUUAUAAAAGUUUGUCUCUUCUUCUCGGAGAUUUGCUAAUAUUUUCUUGGAAAUACCGUUUCUGCUUUCACAAAGAUUUAGGAAAGAAGGUUUGUUAUUUGGAAUUUUGAAUAUUUGUUGGAAUAUGGCAUUGGGAAAGAGGAGUAAUUCAAUGAAGUCAAGGCGUGCUGGAUUUGAUGGUGAAGAAGGGUUUGGUUUAGGGUUGGUGAAACACACGCGAAGCUUUGGGAGGAAAAGGGUUUUAAUUGAUAACAAUACGGAUUCGAUGGUACUUGAUUCGCCUGUCAAAACUCCAUCGAAAAGGGUUUGCAGUCUAGAGCCUGAGAAAUCUGCGCUCGAAAGCCUGCCUCAGGAUAUUCUGAUUAGGAUUCUCUGUGGUGUGGAUCAUGAUGAUUUGAAGCAGCUUUUCCAUGUAUCUAAAGUAAUCAGAGAAUCUACUAUGGUUGCUAAAAAAUGGCACUUCGCCUAUAGUACACCAAGAAAGACUCCUGCUUUUCGAACUCCAAUUGAUUUCGAAAACCCAAAUGAGUUGGAUGAAAUUGAGGCCCCAAAUGCACCGAAGCAACAGCGCUCUUACAGGUCGCGACUAAAUGGGAAGAAGCUCGCUGACAUAUCAGUGGCAUUAUUUGCUUCUCCAAAGAAGGGGUUGUUCAUGGCAACAGAGGAAGUGUGAGAACAAGAAAAGCGUAUUGUAUAUAACACGGAUUUGUUGUUUGUUGUAAAUAGGAGGACGACUGGAGUUCUGGGUCUCAUCAGAUCUCGUUUUGGGUGUUCUCUGUACAUGGCACGAAUCUUUACAAGCCGAAGUUUAUUCUUCAACUCUUGCAUUGAAGAUAGGGAGUGGCUUGUUUGUAUCUUUGUGAGUGUACAUGUGGGGUUAGUGACACAUUUGUUCAAGUGCAAUCUUUGCCCUUCUGAUUCGAUAAAGAAUGAAAAAAAUAAUCGUAGUGUACAUCCGCAUACGAUUUGUGCUUAAUAAAAUGAAGAACGAUUGAUUCAUUUUUUA